This 302-nucleotide ribosomal RNA is filed under the name uncultured bacterium. Its description in RNAcentral is "bacterial SSU rRNA". It matches the Rfam family "Bacterial small subunit ribosomal RNA", at positions 28 to 313 of the family's 1533-position model. The record is from RNAcentral.
GAUGAACGUUGGCGGCGUGCCUAACACAUGCAAGUCGAGCGAGAAAAGGGCUUCGGCCCCCAGUAAAGACGGCGGACGGGUGAGUAAUACAUAGGUAACUUUCCCUUUCGAGCGGGGGACGAACGUUUCGUAAAGGAACGCUAAUACCGCAUAAGUUCUUUGUAGACUUCGGUCUUGGAGAGGAAAGCUAGGUAGCAAUAUCUGGCACUCGAGGAGAGGCCUGUGUCGCAUCAGCUAGUUGGUGAGGAAUGGCUCACCAAGGCGAAGACGCGUAGCUGGUCUGAGAGGAUGAUCAGCCACAC